AUGAAGCUUCGCCCCACCGCCGCCACUGUGGCUCUCCUCCUCUUCCUCCUCUUGGCAUCCUCGUCUCUGCGUGCCGCCAUGGCUGGAUCAGCGUUCUGCGACGGCAAGUGCGGGGUGAGGUGCUCCAAGGCGAGCCGGCACGACGACUGCCUCAAAUACUGUGGGAUAUGCUGCGCCGAGUGCAACUGCGUGCCAUCGGGGACGGCCGGCAACAAGGACGAGUGCCCCUGCUACCGCGACAAGACCACCGGCCAAGGGGCGCGCAAGAGGCCCAAGUGCCCAUGA
Molecule: ribosomal RNA, 285 nt
Filed under: Triticum aestivum (bread wheat)
Lineage: Eukaryota; Viridiplantae; Streptophyta; Magnoliopsida; Poales; Poaceae
Description: partial small subunit ribosomal RNA
Source: RNAcentral